UGCAUAUAAAUGUUUUUCACGAUAAUUUGC
Molecule: non-coding RNA, 30 nt
Filed under: Rattus norvegicus (Norway rat)
Lineage: Eukaryota; Metazoa; Chordata; Mammalia; Rodentia; Muridae
Source: RNAcentral